Molecule: ribosomal RNA, 254 nt
Filed under: uncultured bacterium
Lineage: Bacteria
Description: partial 16S ribosomal RNA
Rfam family: Bacterial small subunit ribosomal RNA
Source: RNAcentral
UACGGAGGGAGCUAGCGUUGUUCGGAAUUACUGGGCGUAAAGCGCACGUAGGCGGCUUUGUAAGUUAGAGGUGAAAGCCUGGGGCUCAACCCCAGAAUUGCCUUUGAUACUGCAUGGCUUGAAUCCAGGAGAGGUGAGUGGAAUUCCGAGUGUAGAGGUGAAAUUCGUAGAUAUUCGGAAGAACACCAGUGGCGAAGGCGGCUCACUAGACUGGUAUUGACGCUGAGGUGCGAAAGCGUGGGGGAGCAAACAGG